GAUGAACGUUGGCGGCGUGCCUAAUACAUGCAAGUCGAGCGAACGGACGAGAAGCUUGCUUCUCUGAUGUUAGCGGCGGACGGGUGAGUAACACGUGGAUAACCUACCUAUAAGACUGGGAUAACUUCGGGAAACCGGAGCUAAUACCGGAUGAUAUUUCGAACCGCAUGGUUCAAAAGUGAAAGACGGUCUUGCUGUCACUUAUAGAUGGAUCCGCGCUGCAUUAGCUAGUUGGUAAGGUAACGGCUUACCAAGGCAACGAUGCAUAGCCGACCUGAGAGGGUGAUCGGCCACACUGGAACUGAGACACGGUCCAGACUCCUACGGGAGGCAGCAGUAGGGAAUCUUCCGCAAUGGGCGAAAGCCUGACGGAGCAACGCCGCGUGAGUGAUGAAGGUCUUCGGAUCGUAAAACUCUGUUAUUAGGGAAGAACAUAUGUGUAAGUAACUGUGCACAUCUUGACGGUACCUAAUCAGAAAGCCACGGCUAACUACGUG
RNAcentral lists this ribosomal RNA (497 nucleotides) under uncultured bacterium. Its description in RNAcentral is "partial 16S ribosomal RNA". It matches the Rfam family "Bacterial small subunit ribosomal RNA", at positions 28 to 507 of the family's 1533-position model. The record is from RNAcentral.